GGCUCAGAACGAACGCUGGCGGCGCGUCUUAAGCAUGCAAGUCGAACGGCAAGAUUAGUGCUUGCACUAAUCCUAGAGUGGCGGACUGGUGAGUAACGCGUGGGUGACGUACCCUUCUGAUGGGGAUAGCUACUAGAAAUAGUAGAUAAUACCGAAUACGAUUCCGUAAGUUAGAGGUGCGGAAUGAAAGGAGCUUCGGCUCCGCGGAAGGAACGGCCCGCGUACCAUUAGCUAGUUGGUGUGGUAACGGCAUACCAAGGCGAUGAUGGUUACCCGGCCUAAGAGGGUGAUCGGGCACAUUGGGACUGAGAUACGGCCCAGACUCCUACGGGAGGCAGCAGCUAAGAAUAUUCCGCAAUGGAGGAAACUCUGACGGAGCGACGCCGCGUGGAUGAUGAAGGUCGGAAGAUUGUAAAAUCCUUUUAAGUAUGAUGAAUAACCUGAUCAGGAAAUGGGACAGGGAUGACCGUAAUACUUGAAUAAGCAACGGCUAAUUACGUG
RNAcentral lists this ribosomal RNA (501 nucleotides) under uncultured bacterium. Its description in RNAcentral is "bacterial SSU rRNA". It matches the Rfam family "Bacterial small subunit ribosomal RNA", at positions 21 to 507 of the family's 1533-position model. The record is from RNAcentral.